Molecule: long non-coding RNA, 538 nt
Filed under: Salvator merianae (Argentine black and white tegu)
Lineage: Eukaryota; Metazoa; Chordata; Lepidosauria; Squamata; Teiidae
Description: lncRNA (ENSSMRG00000006400.1)
Source: RNAcentral
AAACAGUGGAAGGCCAGUUAAAAAUAAAUAAAAUAAAUAAAUCAUUGAUGCUGAGUCUCCAGUUUUAAAUGUGGUUUGUCUUAUUUCAUAAAUAUAAUUUUGUUUAUGCCCCGCUUCUGCACAGGAUAGCAAUGGAAUGAGUAGCUGGCAUAUGAGAUGGCGAUCUGGUUCAGGGUUCCUCAGAACAGGCAGUCCUGCAACUGAACGUCAGGCUUCUCCAGGUCUGCAAAAGAAACUUUGGCCAUCCUAAAAUCCUCAACCGCUGUUGAAGCAUCCAUACAGCUUCCUUAACAAGGGUACGGAAGUACUUCUGCAUACAGAGGAAUACUGGGAAUUGAACUUGUGGCAUUCUCCAUUCCAGUUCUACCUUCAUGUUGGAUUUAGGAUUGCAACCUUAGUAAUGGUGCUAGAUUGUCGCCACAAACUCUUCACUUUAAAGAUGCUUUUUUGGAACUCCUACUUUCCCCAGGAUUUGUGCACAGCACUAAUGGUUGGCAGAAAGGCUUCGUUUACCAUUAAGCUCCUCUCCUCGAAGUAA